AAAUACCUCCCCAUUGCAGUGUGUUUCAAAACCUUUCCUUCUACUGAACACAACCUAGGUUUGCUCAGACUGACAUGUGAGCCCGGGAGAGCAGGAGGAGGAAGAGGGAGUCUUUGUCAGUCUUUCCAAGACGAGCUCUUGGGCUCCUCUGGCUGGCUUGACUCUGGCUCCGCUCUGACAAGACUCCCAGCUGCAGCGUAGCCAAGAUGUCAGCUUGAAGGCCAAUCAACCCAACCCCAGCCCGGAGAGAGACGAGGGCUCAGGUCCAACUCACACGUGGACUCUCCUUAGAGGUGUAAGAGUCGUGGCUGAACGACGACAUUAUCAACAUACAGCUGGCUGGGUAAACGCUGUGUCGGCAGGAUUGAACAGUGGCGCCUGGACCUGAGCCCUAGGACCAUGCCUCAGAACUACCUGGCAUGAUGACUCCUUGCUGCUCCCAGUCCACCUGGUCGUGCUGCUGCUCCAGUUUCAACUGUUCUGCCUGCGGCUAUGGAACCCUGACCUGUUCACCGGACAUGCUACCUGUCCCAGACCUGCUGUUUUCAACUCUCUAGAGACAGCAGGAGCGGUAGAGAUACUCUGAAUGAUCGGCUAUAAAAGCCAACUGACAUUUACUCCUGAGGUGCUGACCUGUUGCACCCUCUACAACCACUGUGAUUAUUAUAAUUUGACCCUGCUGGUCAUCUAUGAACAUUUGAACAUCUUGGCUAUGUUCUGUUAUAAUCUCCACCCGGGACAGCCAGACGAGGACUAGCCACUCCUCAUAGCCUGGUUCCUCUCUAGGUUUCUUCCUAGGUUCUGGCCUUUCUAGGGAGUUUUUCCUAGCCACCGUGCUUCUACACCUGCAUUGCUUGCUGUUUGGGGUUUUAGCACUUGGUGACAUCAGCUGAUGUAAGAAGGGCCUUCUAAAUAAAUGCAUGUGAGUGAUACAAUUUGAUUUGAUUUGUUUUAGUUACUAUUGUGUAAAUGUUGAAUUACAUUGAUUAUGAAUAGGUUGAAUGGCUUAGAUUUACACAGACACUGAGCCGAGCUCUAUAAAUACUAAAACACAUACUUAGUCCAGUCUCUCUACUCUAGAGGAAGUAGAACCAGACUGGCUGUUCAGAUCCCCCCUCCCAUACAGUACACUCACUCGCUCACUCGCUCACUCACUCAC
This is a long non-coding RNA of Oncorhynchus tshawytscha (Chinook salmon), 1159 nucleotides long. The record is from Ensembl. Lineage: Eukaryota; Metazoa; Chordata; Actinopteri; Salmoniformes; Salmonidae.